RNAcentral lists this ribosomal RNA (460 nucleotides) under uncultured bacterium. RNAcentral describes it as "partial 16S ribosomal RNA". It matches the Rfam family "Bacterial small subunit ribosomal RNA", at positions 338 to 795 of the family's 1533-position model. The record is from RNAcentral.
CCUACGGGUGGCAGCAGUGAGGAAUAUUGGUCAAUGGCCGAGAGGCUGAACCAGCCAAGUCGCGUGAGGGAAGACGGCCCUACGGGUUGUAAACCUCUUUUGUCGGGGAGCAAAGAGAGUCACGUGUGACUCAUUGAGAGUACCCGACGAAAAAGCAUCGGCUAACUCCGUGCCAGCAGCCGCGGUAAUACGGAGGAUUCGAGCGUUAUCCGGAAUCAUUGGGGUUAAAGGGGGAGGAGGCGGGUUGGAGGGUCUAUUGUUAAAAGGCAAGGGCUUAACCAUGGUAAGGCGAAGAAACCGGCAGGCUAGAGUUCUAAAGAGGAACGUGGAAUUCGAGGUGUAGCGGUGAAAUGCGUAGAUAUAUGGAGGAACACCAGUGGCGAAGGCGACGAUCUGGGAAGAAACAGACGCUGAGUCCCGAAAGCGUGGGGAGCAAAUAGGAUUAGAUACCCUAGUAGUC